This 860-nucleotide ribosomal RNA is filed under the name Bursaphelenchus xylophilus (pine wood nematode). Its description in RNAcentral is "SSU rRNA". It matches the Rfam family "Eukaryotic small subunit ribosomal RNA", at positions 58 to 945 of the family's 1831-position model. The record is from RNAcentral. Lineage: Eukaryota; Metazoa; Nematoda; Chromadorea; Rhabditida; Aphelenchoididae.
UCUAAGUGGAGUAUUAUAUAGCGAAACUGCGAACGGCUCAUUACAACAGAUAUAAUUUACUAGUUCUUGUUUCUAUAUGGAUAACUGCGGUAAUUCUGGAGCCAAUACAUGCAUCAAGCCCUGGCCGCUCGGUUAGGGUGCAAUUAUUGGAGCAAAACCAGUCUCAUACUGUUUGCUAACUCAGGAUAAUUCUGCAUAUCGCAUGGUCUUGUACCGGCGAAGUUUCUUUCAAGUAUCUGCUUUAUCAACUAUCGUUGGUAGUUUAUUGGUCUACCAUGGUGUUGACGGGUAACGGAGAAUCAGGGUUUGACUCCGGAGAGGGAGCCUUAGAAACGGCUACCAUGUCUAAGGAUAGCAGCAGGCGCGAAAAUUACCCAAUAUCAAAACGAUGAGGUAGUGACGAGAAAUAACAAGAUCGUUCUCUUUGAGAUCGAUUAUUGGAAUGAGUACAAUCCAGAAAUUUUAACGAGUACCUACGAGAGGGCAAGUCUGGUGCCAGCAGCCGCGGUAAUUCCAGCUCUCGUAAUGUAUAGAAUUAUUGUUGCGAUUAAAAAGUUCGUAGUUGGAUUGCAACGCAGGUAUGGGUCCACCCUCUGGGUGCGUACUCAAUGCUUGCAUUUUGCAUGUUUUUGUGGCGUCGCUUCGGUGGCGUUCAUGAUGCAUGCAGGAUUACUUUGAACGGCUCAAGUGCUUAAAGCAAGUCUUAUGACUGAAUACCGGUGCAUGGAAUAAUGGAACAAGGUUGUGGCUGAGUUUUAUUGGUUUUGUCGGCUAAAACAAUGGUUAACAGGAACAGCCGGGGGCAUUCGUAUCGCUGCGCGAGAGGUGAAAUUCGUGGACCGUAGCGAGACGUCCUACAG